AUGGUCUUAGUGGUCUGUUCCAACCUUAAAGAUUCCAUGAUUCUACUUGGAGAAAUUAUAACAUUAACUGCAGCUAUGAAAUUUAUGAUUGAAAUUACCUGUUUGUCUUUUCUGUUUUCCAGGGAGGAUAGUGUGCCAGUAGUGGCAGCACAGCUCUUAUGGGAGAUAUACUUGGACCUGGUCAUCUUUAAAAAGGAGACAAGCUGGUCAGAUCUCUUGCCAGUAGGAUCUGGGACUCUGUCUGCUCCUCUCAUACAGGACUGCCUUAAACAUUGAGCUAUGAGAAGAUUCCUCUAAGUUCUUUCUUCCUCACUCAUUGAUUUACACAUCCUUCUGCAGAGACAUCUGCCUUCAGCGUGGUUUGAAGAAUAGGUCUUCUCCCCACUCACAGACUAUUCUCUAUGCAUUCCUCUAAGCAACAGGGCCUGUUUGGUCCAUAUUGGUCUUGGUAAGGUCACUUCAUAGACAGUUUCCCUCUCCUGGCCUUAUCCUCUAUCUGAUUAUUUUAAAUAGUGAACCUCUUCCAACAGAUUAUAAAAUGGACCAGUACUCACCCAUUAUCUUCAUGAAAGAAAGGUUGUGCCUAUCCUCUCUAGGGAGAGGCAAUUGGAUCUGGAAACAGAGGAUCUGCAACAUGGACUCAUGCCCUUGUGUUUUAGAAAGGAAUGUUUCUUUAAGCAAAUAAUCUGUGCUUACUCUUUAUUAACAGCCAGUUCUAACCAGAUCCAUGCCCAGCUUGACAUUCUGAAGAGUAUGUCUUCCAGCAGUGCUCCAUGGACCUGGGAAGCAAAUUCAGGUGUUUGGAUUCCACUCAGGGAAAAUAGCAGCUUGAAAGACAAGGACUGCAUGGUAUUAAGUUGCAGGGAGGCUGCUGGUGGUGGUUGUUGAAGGACAAAAUUCUGUUAGAAAAAUUAACAUACUUUCUGAUUAAUCAUUUGAUUUCUGAAUGAACAGAAAGAAAGAAGUCAAAUAGUUCUGAAGGGAUUUCAAGCAGACCAUGUAUGAAAAAUUCAGCAUCCUUGGCCUCCUUUUUGUUACCUUGAACAGCUGAGGUCCAUCAGAGAUAAUGUGCUCUGUCUCCAGAUAGGAUACCAUGUCACUGGCUGAUUCUUCAUUAAGGGAAUUAAUUGCCUUGUGUGACUGUAACCUGCUGUAAUAAGGCAGUGGUAGGUUAAUAUUGGAGUUCAAUUCAAAUAGCAUUUACAUACAUUGAAAAUGCACCAAGAAAGCAACAUAAUACUCCUUCCCAAAGUGGAAGUUAAUCCUCCCCAUAUAAAUGUAAGAUGUAAAUAAUGCAAACCUAAAAAUUGGUAUAGUAUUGUCUUAGGUAGCUAAAUACAACAUAUGGUAAAUAGGGCUGUACAGAUACAAGCCCAUUUAAAAUCCUCUUCAGCAGCAAGAUUCAGUUGUCAUGUUUUGUUAAGUCUUGUGAAGCAAAGGCAGAGCUUAUGCACACAUUCAAAGCAACAGAGGAUUUCCUACUAUGCCCCAGGAAAACUGAAAAACCAAACUAUUCUCUAAUGGAGUCAUGUUCUGCUGUAAUGAAAAAUGUGGUCUUUUUAGUAAACAGCUUUAAAGCUAAUUAAAGAGCAUCUUGGGCAACCUUAGCUUGUUUUUAAGAUACAACUGUUUUGGCAGUUUUAGCUGUCAGCUACUGUGUUUGUCCACAACAACAGCAAAUCAUGACAUAAUCUACUUAAGUGGUCUAGAUAGUUUUGAUGGGAAAGCUGUAACAAAAGGUUGACAACACAGCUGCUAGAUCUCAAUUUAAAUUCUCCAUCAGCACUACUAGAUGAGAGAUGGUCUAAAAUACUUGCUUUGUAGAAGAACUUACAGACCUAUUGUAAAGCAAUUUCCAUCCAAAAUGUAUUUUGGAGGAAGAAGGAAAAGCAAAACUUGUAUUUUGUAGUAACAUAAUAAAGGCUUGAAACAAAUAAUUUGCUUUGCUUUA
Molecule: long non-coding RNA, 1951 nt
Organism: Numida meleagris (helmeted guineafowl)
Lineage: Eukaryota; Metazoa; Chordata; Aves; Galliformes; Numididae
Source: Ensembl